This 253-nucleotide ribosomal RNA is filed under the name uncultured bacterium. RNAcentral describes it as "partial 16S ribosomal RNA". It matches the Rfam family "Bacterial small subunit ribosomal RNA", at positions 524 to 776 of the family's 1533-position model. The record is from RNAcentral.
UACGUAGGCAGCAAGCGUUGUUCGGAGUUACUGGGCGUAAAGGGUGCGUAGGUGGCUCUAUAAGUCUGGUGUGAAAUCUCCCGGCUUAACUGGGAGGGUGCGCCGUAGACUGUGGGGCUAGAGUGUGGGAGAGGAAAGUGGAAUUCCUGGUGUAGCGGUGAAAUGCGUAGAUAUCAGGAGGAACACCGGUGGUGUAAACGGCUUUCUGGACCAUAACUGACACUGAGGCACGAAAGCGUGGGUAGCAAACCGG